This is a long non-coding RNA of Anopheles arabiensis, 1393 nucleotides long. RefSeq lists it as uncharacterized. The record is from RefSeq and is a predicted model, not a curated record. The transcript has 2 exons. Lineage: Eukaryota; Metazoa; Arthropoda; Insecta; Diptera; Culicidae.
UCAGCUGAAGCGGCUCUGUUUCAGUAGGAAACACGGGCGGUUGCACUGGUCUAGCCAUUUGAAGGUGAUAAAUACGUCGUUUCUCGUAUCGCGCUGCCCCAACCCUGGCGGGCGCUUUCAUCGGUGCCGCAUAUUGUAGAGAAAAGUUUAGAAAAUCGUUUUCCAUUCACCCUGCUGAAUGCUGUUGAGAAUGCCCUGCGUCGCAACUGCUUGUUUCCCUUCUUGCGUAAACUUUUUUCUGACCUUUUUUGUCUGGUUGCUUUACCUCUUUUCCAUCUCCUCUUAACCCACCUGGUCCGUUCUGUGGCUGCUGUGGAUGCUGGGCAGUGCGCGAAUCGGAAAGCCGAGCACAAUAAGGGAGAGCUUUAGUCAAUUUCCUUGAUUGCCUCGGCAAGUGGUACCGAAACUUUAAGAAACUUGCCAUUUAUCAGCGGCGGCUUUACGGAAACCGGUCCAUCCGGUUUGGACCCUGCCUUGCUUUGCGUUUUUCAAAGCCCAGCGGUGUGCGGUUCGUGGCAGCCCUAGCAACAUUUUGCUGAAUCCGAUCGGUCUCGGCAGCCUUGGUGCUAAUCAACGUGAUUAGGUGGAAAAAUGGGUAUCCCUUGGGCCGAAAACAGCAGGCUGCGAUCGUUAGAAAGGCUUCGAACUUUCAUGGCAAAUGGCAAAUGAUUCGAACAUUCACUGGUUGGUUCUGGAAAAAUGUGCAAGUGCAGAAUGAAAGGAUCGAAUUUUAGACUAUUUUAGGUGUUGGAAAAGUAAAAAGAGAGAAAUCAUAAGAUACUACUGUGAGAGGGGGGAAAACGGGUUUGAUUUUUUUUAAUAGUUUGUCUCGUUUCAGGCAUUGACCUCUCUUUACCUAUGCUUUCUACGUUUAUUGAGCCCAAAAGCGGAUGGGCGGUUGGCUUUGUUUAGGUGAUUUUUAUCUUGAAGGAAAUUUAUUCCGACCAUUUGAUAAAUUCUGCUGCGUGCAAAAAGCAACCUUUCGAUGGAUCGUUAGUCUUGAAUCUCUUUUCACGAAUACUGUAAAACGAAAAAGACGCAUGAAUCAGUUUCGAAGGUCUCCGAUGGGCUACAAAUUAUUGUUGCGAUGGAUAGAAACGCUGAGCUAUUUUGGAAAGUUUUCAGAGAGUCAUAGACUUGCUUGCAGGAAAGAAGGAUAAUGGGAUAUUGAGAUGAAAGUCAAAUUACUCCCAUUUAGGCACAGGUAGACGAAACCAUCUAAAUAACCAUGGUGUUGUGAGAUAAAUCCUGGUACCGUUACGGACUGAUUCACGUUCGAUCUCGAAGAUUGAUAUUGAUGCUCAAUCUUUGGUGAAUUGUUCUAUUGAAUGCUUCAUCCAUAAAUGAUGAUUGUUUAACUUAAAUGAAUUAAACUAGUAUAUUCCUUUGUUAA